ACGAACGCUGGCGGCGUGCUUAACACAUGCCAGUCGAACGGAAAGGCCCUGCUUUUGUGGGGUGCUCGAGUGGCGAACGGGUGAGUAACACGUGAGUAACCAGCCCUUGACUUUGGGAUAACUUCAGGAAACUGGGGCUAAUACCGGAUAGGAGCUCCUGCUGCAUGGUGGGGGUUGGAAAGUUUCGGCGGUUGGGGAUGGACUCGCGGCUUAUCAGCUUGUUGGUGGGGUAGUGGCUUACCAAGGCUUUGACGGGUAGCCGGCCUGAGAGGGUGACCGGCCACAUUGGGACUGAGAUACGGCCCAGACUCCUACGGGAGGCAGCAGUGGGGAAUAUUGCACAAUGGGCGGAAGCCUGAUGCAGCAACGCCGCGUGCGGGAUGACGGCCUUCGGGUUGUAAACCGCUUUCGCCUGUGACGAAGCGUGAGUGACGGUAAUGGGUAAAGAAGCACCGGCUAACUACGUG
This 467-nucleotide ribosomal RNA is filed under the name uncultured bacterium. Its description in RNAcentral is "partial 16S ribosomal RNA". It matches the Rfam family "Bacterial small subunit ribosomal RNA", at positions 29 to 507 of the family's 1533-position model. The record is from RNAcentral.